RNAcentral lists this long non-coding RNA (902 nucleotides) under Apteryx owenii (little spotted kiwi). Its description in RNAcentral is "lncRNA (ENSAOWG00000002460.1)". The record is from RNAcentral. Lineage: Eukaryota; Metazoa; Chordata; Aves; Apterygiformes; Apterygidae.
UUGCGCUUUAAUCAGGUGAGACAGCCGGCGAGACGUGAAUUUUUUCCUUUUCUCUUUACAGGCAGGCAACAGAAGCACAAAUUGUGUGGCUUGCUGAGUUCGCAUAGGAAUGGCCUUGCUAGCGAUGGAGGGAAAAUCCAGAUCUCCCAAGUACCAGACCAGCAUCUCCAUCAAAGAUCAUCCUUCUGCCUGGUUUCUGCUCUGGUUCCUGAAUGAUGCUCAACCCUUCUGUUCCUGAAGCGGAGCCUGUGCUUAGGACAACGCAUACAGCAGCUGAUGGAGAAUGCGCCGGCAUUUUGGAGGUGCUCAGAAAGAUCUCUAUAAGAGCUAAGCCACCGUUGUGCUGCCUCCCCAGCUAGUUCUGCAAACCAGCUUCCUGCCUGUGUGAGCACAGACCCAACAAAGGAAUUGCUUGAAAAUGGAAAUUCUUGCACCACUCCCUUUCCAGCGUGUCUCCUGAUGCUGACUAGUUGCCACCAUGCCCUCCAUCCUGAAGUGCAUCUGAGGGCAUUUCUAACUCAAUAUUGGAGUUCUUUAAAGAAGUACAUUCAUCACAGGACUUGCAUUUAUCUUUGGUGGUUCUCCCUUCCUCCCUGUCCCUCUGGUGAUGACAUCGACCAAUUCUGUGCUCCCAUUUAGAUGUUCAGGGAGCUGGACACUACUCCUACUCAGCAGUCGACUGGAUUUGGCCGUGGCCUGAAGAGCCACAGCAAGAUCAUUUUGAAGAAGACAGAGUAACAAAGAAAUAGCCACUCAAUAGCAUGCAGUGAGGCAGGAGUUGAUUUGGUUUAACACAGCUGCUAAAAUUGACAUUGAGGAUCCAAGGUCUUAAUUGUACAAUUUUUGAAAUCAAACUCUCUGGAAUUGAGUAAGACCUAAAUAAAAAAAAAUUGAAAACUCCA